This 494-nucleotide ribosomal RNA is filed under the name uncultured bacterium. Its description in RNAcentral is "partial 16S ribosomal RNA". It matches the Rfam family "Bacterial small subunit ribosomal RNA", at positions 28 to 507 of the family's 1533-position model. The record is from RNAcentral.
GACGAACGCUGGCGGCGUGCUUAACACGUGCAAGUCGAACGGAAAGGCCUGCUUUCCCUUGUGGAUUGCGGGUACUCGAGUGGCGAACGGGUGAGUAACACGUGAGUGAUCUGCCCCCAACUUGGGUAUAAGCCUGGGAAACUGGGUCUAAUUCCCGAUAGGACUGCAGGGUGGUGCCUGUGGUGGAAAACGAUUUUCUAGUGGUUGGGGAUGAGCUCGCGGCCUAUCAGCUUGUUGGUGGGGUAAUGGCCUACCAAGGCGGCGACGGGUAGCCGGCCUGAGAGGGUGGACGGCCACAUUGGGACUGAGAUACGGCCCAGACUCCUACGGGAGGCAGUAGUGGGGAAUAUUGCACAAUGGGCGGAAGCCUGAUGCAGCGACGCCGCGUGGGGGAUGACGGCCUUCGGGUUGUAAACUCCUUUCGACCGCGAGGAAGCCACCUGGUUGGAAGGGUGGUGACGGUAGUGGUAGAAGAAGCACCGGCUAACUACGUG